Long non-coding RNA from Quercus robur (English oak), 298 nucleotides. RefSeq lists it as uncharacterized. The transcript has 3 exons. The record is from RefSeq and is a predicted model, not a curated record. NCBI's taxonomy places the organism in Eukaryota, Viridiplantae, Streptophyta, Magnoliopsida, Fagales, Fagaceae.
AAGGGUUUCAACCAUGGUACCUCAAGUUUACUCUCUGACCUUGAGCAAUCUAGUAGUAUUCCCAAUGUUACAUUGGCAAAUGGCUCAGUCACUACAGUUUCUGAUCUCAAGACGGGGAAGAUUAUUGGUGGAGGGCAUGAAGUCGGUGGCCUUUAUUACUUGGAUCGAUGUGGUUCUUCCCGUUUAGUGGCUUCUCAUUUGUCUAUCUCGCCUCUUUAGCAUCAUUGUCGCCUUGGUCAUCCAUCUCUCAAGAAUUUGAAGUCAUUAGUUUCGUCGUGUUGUCAAAUUGAGUCUUUAC